GAAGUGCGAUAAGCAAUGCGAAUUGCAGAACCGUGAGUCAUCAGAUUUUUGAACGCAACUGGCGCCGAUUGGGUCUCCAGUCGGCAUGCUUGUUUCAGUGUCUUGUUUUCUCCUCACCCAAAUCUUAAUGCGAGAGAUAUCCUUCUCUUGUUAAGCAUGAAAGCACUCUGCGCUCUGCGAGUGGCUUCGACUUGUUCGAGGGCCACACUCAAUGCAGCAGUCACAUUGCUCACAAUGUGAACUCAUUGAGAGUAGAGGCAGUGCAGCGUCAGCUGCCAGUGCUUAGUCACACUAACUUUCUUUGCAUCUGAAAUCAAGCAGGAUCACCCGCUGAACUUAA
RNAcentral lists this unclassified non-coding RNA (340 nucleotides) under uncultured fungus. RNAcentral's name for it is "sequence contains ITS1". The stretch from base 1 to 103 matches the Rfam family "5.8S ribosomal RNA", at positions 50 to 154 of the family's 154-position model. The record is from RNAcentral. Lineage: Eukaryota; Fungi.